Molecule: ribosomal RNA, 440 nt
Filed under: Microbacteriaceae bacterium 30-F143
Lineage: Bacteria; Bacillati; Actinomycetota; Actinomycetes; Micrococcales; Microbacteriaceae
Description: bacterial SSU rRNA
Rfam family: Bacterial small subunit ribosomal RNA
Source: RNAcentral
AGUCGAACGGUGAUGGGGGAGCUUGCUCCUUCUGAUCAGUGGCGAACGGGUGAGUAACACGUGAGUAACCUGCCCCAAACUCUGGGAUAAGCACUGGAAACGGUGUCUAAUACCGGAUACGAGCUUCAGCCGCAUGGCUAGGAGUUGGAAAGAAUUUCGGUUUGGGAUGGACUCGCGGCCUAUCAGCUAGUUGGUGAGGUAAUGGCUCACCAAGGCGACGACGGGUAGCCGGCCUGAGAGGGUGACCGGCCACACUGGGACUGAGACACGGCCCAGACUCCUACGGGAGGCAGCAGUGGGGAAUAUUGCACAAUGGGCGCAAGCCUGAUGCAGCAACGCCGCGUGAGGGACGACGGCCUUCGGGUUGUAAACCUCUUUUAGUAGGGAAGAAGCGAAAGUGACGGUACCUGCAGAAAAAGCACCGGCUAACUACGUGCCAG